RNAcentral lists this ribosomal RNA (253 nucleotides) under uncultured bacterium. RNAcentral's name for it is "partial 16S ribosomal RNA". It matches the Rfam family "Bacterial small subunit ribosomal RNA", at positions 524 to 776 of the family's 1533-position model. The record is from RNAcentral.
UACAGAGGUCCCAAGCGUUGUUCGGAUUCACUGGGCGUAAAGGGUGCGUAGGUGGCGGGGUAAGUUUGAUGUGAAAUCUCCGGGCUUAACCCGGAAACUGCAUUGAAUACUAUUCUGCUCGAGGGUUGGAAGGGAGACUGGAAUACUUGGUGUAGCAGUGAAAUGCGUAGAUAUCAAGUAGAACACCAGUGGCGAAGGCGGGUCUCUGGACAGUUCCUGACGCUGAGGCACGAAGGCCAGGGGAGCAAACGGG